Molecule: unclassified non-coding RNA, 1529 nt
Filed under: Daphnia magna
Lineage: Eukaryota; Metazoa; Arthropoda; Branchiopoda; Diplostraca; Daphniidae
Description: uncharacterized LOC116925038, transcript variant X1
Source: RNAcentral
UUCAGUAAGUGUAAAAAAUCACCUCUUUGAAAAAAAUUUGUGUCCACUAAGUAAUAUUUUCAUCGUUACAUUUCACCAUUACAAUCAAAUUCGCAUGGGAUGGUGGUUAAGGACUCUAGAUAUUUAUGGAUAUGAGUAUGUCGGUUCAAGUCUAUUUUAUGUAAUGUUAUCAAUGUGAGUUUAUUUUAUCUCUAAGUGAAAAUGUUAAUUCCGUUUAUAAUUUUUUACGUAAAUGAUUAAUUCAAUUAACUACAAGAUCAAGAAGAAAAUUUUUCGUUAACAUGAUAAUAAAACUUAUAUUUUUUUAACAUACUACUUUUUUUUUACAACUCAAUUGCCAUAUAGGGCUGUUUGACAUCUUUUUUGACAUUUGUUGCCAUCGCGGCAAUGCAGCAAUCGAUGGUAGAUUUCGUCUGCUUCGACACGAAUUGUGAUUUCACAUCAAGAGAAUGUAUAGCAAUUACAGAAUGUGUAAAUGUCGAAUUGUUGCAACAGAAAAAGCGGAACUAUCUAAUUAUUCAGUCUGCCGAAGGACAGGGAAAGAAGAGAGUUGUGGUUGGAGAGGAUGAACAUAAAUUUUAUCAACGAUAUCCAAAAAAACCUGUAUGUGUGUUCACUUCAUUUUGUAACAGGAAAGCCAAGUGGUCAAUUCAACCACAAACAUGUUGAUUGGGCACCGUCUAUCAAUUUGGGAUUUAAAAAGCCAAAACUACAUUUAGUUGGUGACCAAGUAGUUCAAGCAAAUUAAAACAGCGCUGAGCAUCCACCCAUUGCAUUGAUGGAUGUUUUAUUACCUGAAGAUACUGUGGGAAGUGACUGUAAUUCACCCAUAACGUUGAUUACUGUUUCUUCAUCUGCUGAAUCGCCAAUGGAAAUGCAUGAUGAACCCUCAAUUGACGCCGAACAAAAUAUCUCAGCAUGUCCUCUAUUAGAAACAUCACCUGUGUUAAACAAUUGCUGUGAACCCGUUACUGAUCCAGAGUUCGCUUCUAAUGAUUCAUCUGAAAUCAAUCCUGUAAAUCAAUUGAUAGAUUUAAUUGAGCAGCUUAACAUUUUAAAAGAAAAGUUAAGCGUUGUUGAAGACCAACUUGUGCAUGCUAAUAAUAGUAUUUUAGAACUCAAUUGUAAAUUAAGUACUUCAAACAAUAGAAUUGCGUUGCUAGAAAAAUCGUUAGAACAGCGACCAACAGUUGAGGAGACCAUUAAGAAUGUACCUAAUGCUGUAGGAUUUUAUACUGGUAUUGAUAGCUAUGAGAAACUAUGGAUGAUGUACAGUAUCCUGCACAAAAAGGUGAACACCGAUUUAUUUUGAAAAAGCCAUCUGUGGGUAGAAAAAAUUAAUAGUUUACCUUUUUAAGGAGACGUAGGGUGGUUUUGGCGCAAAAUCAUUAUAAGGGGGUUUGGGUAAUAUCAGUCCAGACAGCUAUUUUUUGCCCUAAGUAUUAAAUGUCUGGAAAAAGUGUAGACUGUUUAUCGGUAGACUCCCCUACCCCCCGGCUAAGUAGAACAAUUUUUGCAAUACAAAAUAG